This 445-nucleotide ribosomal RNA is filed under the name uncultured bacterium. RNAcentral describes it as "partial 16S ribosomal RNA". It matches the Rfam family "Bacterial small subunit ribosomal RNA", at positions 354 to 796 of the family's 1533-position model. The record is from RNAcentral.
GUGAGGAAUAUUGCGCAAUGGAGGCAACUCUGACGCAGCCAUGCCGCGUGCAGGAAGAAGGCGCUACGCGUUGUAAACUGCUUUUAACCGGGAAGAAACCCCAGGACGUGUCCUGGGUUGACGGUACCGGAGGAAUAAGCACCGGCUAACUUCGUGCCAGCAGCCGCGGUAAUACGAAGGGUGCAAUCGUUAUCCGGAUUCAUUGGGUUUAAAGGGUGCGUAGGCGGAGCGUUAAGUCAGUGGUGAAAUCCUGCAGCUUAACUGUAGACUUGCCAUUGAUACUGGCGCUCUUGAGUGCGCUUGAAGUGGGCGGAAUGUGCCGUGUAGCGGUGAAAUGCUUAGAUAUGGCACAGAACACCAAUUGCGAAGGCAGCUCACUAAGGCGAUACUGACGCUGAGGCACGAAAGCGUGGGGAUCGAACAGGAUUAGAUACCCGAGUAGUCC